AUAUCUUUCUUGGCUUUUGGCUAAGAUAAUGUGUAAUAUUUGUUCUCAUCAGUUUAAUAUCUAGUAUGCAGACUAUAUGUUUAGUCUAAUAUUAAAUUUAUUUUUAUAGAUAUAUUACAUGUCAUUGCAAAGCACGAUCA
RNAcentral lists this small nuclear RNA (140 nucleotides) under Zea mays. RNAcentral describes it as "U2 spliceosomal RNA". It matches the Rfam family "U2 spliceosomal RNA". Rfam says of the family: U2 is a small nuclear RNA (snRNA) component of the spliceosome (involved in pre-mRNA splicing). Complementary binding between U2 snRNA (in an area lying towards the 5' end but 3' to hairpin I) and the branchpoint sequence (BPS) of the intron results the bulging out of an unpaired adenosine, on the BPS, which initiates a nucleophilic attack at the intronic 5' splice site, thus starting the first of two transesterification reactions that mediate splicing. Lineage: Eukaryota; Viridiplantae; Streptophyta; Magnoliopsida; Poales; Poaceae. The record is from Rfam by way of RNAcentral.